RNAcentral lists this ribosomal RNA (213 nucleotides) under uncultured bacterium. RNAcentral's name for it is "partial 16S ribosomal RNA". It matches the Rfam family "Bacterial small subunit ribosomal RNA", at positions 524 to 736 of the family's 1533-position model. The record is from RNAcentral.
UACGGAGGGUGCGAGCGUUGUCCGGAAUCACUGGGCGUAAAGGGCGCGUAGGCGGCCUGGCAAGUCGGUGGUGAAAGCUCGGGGCUCAACUCCGAGUCGGCCAUCGAUACUGCGAGGCUCGAGUCGACUAGAGGCAGAUGGAAUUCCGGGUGUAGCGGUGGAAUGCGUAGAUAUGCGGAGGAACACCGAUGGCGAAGGCAAUCCCCGUGGGCC